Molecule: RNA transcript, 706 nt
Organism: Cucumis melo (muskmelon)
Lineage: Eukaryota; Viridiplantae; Streptophyta; Magnoliopsida; Cucurbitales; Cucurbitaceae
Gene name: oligopeptide transporter 5-like
Exons: 4
Source: RefSeq, a predicted model, not a curated record
CUCUUUUCUCCUUUCUUCUCUACCAAACCCUACGAAAGAAGGUUUUCUCUCAACAUUUCUUCCCUUUCUUCCUUUCUCAAUCUCAUCACUUUCUAAUCUCCCCUUGGCUUCCAGUCAAAACCUUCAUAUUCCCCACCUUCACCAUCGCCGCUGUGAAAUCCACCUUCCAGAGGCUCCGACUACUCCGAUACUGUCUCACCGUCGCUGCCGUCAAUGGGUCAUCUUCCAUCGCACUUAGAUGCUUGGCUACGGAUGGGCUGGAAUAUUUAGAAAAGUCCUUGUGGAUUCUCCAUACAUGUGGUGGCCAGCAAAUUUGGUUCAAGUUUCUCUUUUCAGGGCAUUGCAUGAGAAAGAGAAGAGGCCAAGAGGAGGACAUACAAGGCUCAAAAUUCUGCUACCUGUUGGUGUUUAUUGAGCUGUGUUGCCUGCUGUUAGGGUGAGUGUGCAGUGACUACGAUAUGGAGUAGGUGCUACAGUUAUAAUAGGUAUGACUGAUUCAACAUGAGCAUUAAAAUUUAUAGUUAUGGGUAAGUUGUUCAAUCUGAACUAUUACAUUGGAACCUGGCUAGCUAGGAGCUAGUUAUAGGUGUUGUGGAAUAGAAAAAGAAAAGCAAGAUAGUUUGUUUUUGAGAUAAUCUUGCUACAUUUUUUCAUGCUUUUUUCUAUAAAUAUUUAUUCUAAGCAAGAUAGUUUGUUUUUGAGAUAA